UUAAAUUGAAGAGUUUGAUCAUGGCUCAGAUUGAACGCUGGCGGCAGGCCUAACACAUGCAAGUCGAACGGUAGCACAGAGAGCUUGCUCUCGGGUGACGAGUGGCGGACGGGUGAGUAAUGUCUGGGAAACUGCCUGAUGGAGGGGGAUAACUACUGGAAACGGUAGCUAAUACCGCAUAACGUCGCAAGACCAAAGAGGGGGACCUUCGGGCCUCUUGCCAUCAGAUGUGCCCAGAUGGGAUUAGCUAGUAGGUGGGGUAACGGCUCACCUAGGCGACGAUCCCUAGCUGGUCUGAGAGGAUGACCAGCCACACUGGAACUGAGACACGGUCCAGACUCCUACGGGAGGCAGCAGUGGGGAAUAUUGCACAAUGGGCGCAAGCCUGAUGCAGCCAUGCCGCGUGUAUGAAGAAGGCCUUCGGGUUGUAAAGUACUUUCAGCGGGGAGGAAGGUGUUGUGGUUAAUAACCACAGCAAUUGACGUUACCCGCAGAAGAAGCACCGGCUAACUCCGUGCCAGCAGCCGCGGUAAUACGGAGGGUGCAAGCGUUAAUCGGAAUUACUGGGCGUAAAGCGCACGCAGGCGGUCUGUCAAGUCGGAUGUGAAAUCCCCGGGCUCAACCUGGGAACUGCAUUCGAAACUGGCAGGCUAGAGUCUUGUAGAGGGGGGUAGAAUUCCAGGUGUAGCGGUGAAAUGCGUAGAGAUCUGGAGGAAUACCGGUGGCGAAGGCGGCCCCCUGGACAAAGACUGACGCUCAGGUGCGAAAGCGUGGGGAGCAAACAGGAUUAGAUACCCUGGUAGUCCACGCCGUAAACGAUGUCGAUUUGGAGGUUGUGCCCUUGAGGCGUGGCUUCCGGAGCUAACGCGUUAAAUCGACCGCCUGGGGAGUACGGCCGCAAGGUUAAAACUCAAAUGAAUUGACGGGGGCCCGCACAAGCGGUGGAGCAUGUGGUUUAAUUCGAUGCAACGCGAAGAACCUUACCUGGUCUUGACAUCCACAGAACUUAGCAGAGAUGCUUUGGUGCCUUCGGGAACUGUGAGACAGGUGCUGCAUGGCUGUCGUCAGCUCGUGUUGUGAAAUGUUGGGUUAAGUCCCGCAACGAGCGCAACCCUUAUCCUUUGUUGCCAGCGGUUAGGCCGGGAACUCAAAGGAGACUGCCAGUGAUAAACUGGAGGAAGGUGGGGAUGACGUCAAGUCAUCAUGGCCCUUACGACCAGGGCUACACACGUGCUACAAUGGCGCAUACAAAGAGAAGCGACCUCGCGAGAGCAAGCGGACCUCAUAAAGUGCGUCGUAGUCCGGAUUGGAGUCUGCAACUCGACUCCAUGAAGUCGGAAUCGCUAGUAAUCGUAGAUCAGAAUGCUACGGUGAAUACGUUCCCGGGCCUUGUACACACCGCCCGUCACACCAUGGGAGUGGGUUGCAAAAGAAGUAGGUAGCUUAACCUUCGGGAGGGCGCUUACCACUUUGUGAUUCAUGACUGGGGUGAAGUCGUAACAAGGUAACCGUAGGGGAACCUGCGGUUGGAUCACCUCCUUACCUUAAAGAA
Molecule: ribosomal RNA, 1552 nt
Filed under: Enterobacter cloacae subsp. dissolvens
Lineage: Bacteria; Pseudomonadati; Pseudomonadota; Gammaproteobacteria; Enterobacterales; Enterobacteriaceae
Description: bacterial SSU rRNA
Rfam family: Bacterial small subunit ribosomal RNA
Source: RNAcentral